RNAcentral lists this long non-coding RNA (4396 nucleotides) under Macaca mulatta (Rhesus monkey). RNAcentral describes it as "lncRNA (ENSMMUG00000049551.1)". Lineage: Eukaryota; Metazoa; Chordata; Mammalia; Primates; Cercopithecidae. The record is from RNAcentral.
AAUUGCAGUCAAGGGGGUAUGUAGACAGUUAUGCACUCUGGUAGUGAGUGGGUCCCGCCUGGAAGCUUUUGAUAGAAUUCCUGAGUGAUGCUCUUCCAGUUUCAAUGUGGGCUGACUGUGUCCUGAAGAAUGGGCUGGGAAGCAGCUUUACAUUCAGCGCCUCGAGGCAGAUCACUCAUCUGCGUUUGUUGCCCUGUCUGAUGCUCCCCUACUUGGGACACCGAGAACUUCAGCCAACAAGUCUUCAGGUGCUCCUUCCUAUAGCAGAUGGUCCAGUUCACAGCCACAUCAGGUAAUAGGCUCUUUUUAAGAAACUUGACAUGCUUGUUUUCCUUGAAGUGCGCUUGAACUCAAUUCUUUCUUUUCUUUCCUCUUUUCUCUUUUCUCUUCUUUUCUUUCUGUCUUUCUGUCUUUCUCUCUCUCUCUUUCUCUCUUUCUUUCUUUUGCUGGGCAAGUAUGGAAGCUUUUGGGCUCUUAUCUAUUCUCACCUCAAAUGUGGCCUCUCUUGACAAAGGGCUGUGCAGUUCAUUCAUCAUCUGCGUCAAGUUUAAGGUCAGGGCUGUGUGAAGGUGAUGGUGACAGGAAGGCGGGAGCUUGGGAGAUGCUGAGUUUCCAUGUUCAAAGCCCUCCACAGUGAAGAGCAUAGAUAAAAUUAAUCCAGCAAAUAUUGAAAGUUAAGUUUGCCUUGUUUUUCUUUGACAAAAAUUUUCUCUUCCGUUCCUUUUAUUCCAGAAAAUUGUAUAGGCACCCAUGGGUAUUUGCAUGGAACUGUGUGGUACCUGGUGUGUCUCUGUGAGUUUAUGUACCAAUAUAUUAAGAAAAGACACUAAUUUUAUGAAGAAUUACUUUUUUGCCUAGUUAUUCAGGCUCAUUAACAACCUCUACUCAUGUCAAUUAAUACUGAAUGUUAAUUGCCUAAAGGUUAAGUUAAGCCAGCAGAGUGAUGUCGUAUCCGUGUAAAGAAAACAGAUCUUUUCUGUUAGUGAGCAUUUUCACAGGCGACAGACUGUGACCAGGUGGUCUUCUGAGUGCUCUUCUGCUUUCUGAAGCCACAUGAUGAGAGAACACUAACUUUGGACUCUAAAAGCUGAGUAGGAUAUGCAUUCAAAUCACCUACUAGUUAGGAGACAAAGAAGGAAACAACUCUCAUUUGUGUUUUGGUUAGAGUUAUCUCUAACCAAGUGACUUUUCAGGUCACUUCAGCUUCUGCGGUAAUUUUAAGAAGGCACAUUAUAAAUAAUUUAUAUUUACUCCCCACUCUUAUUAACUUUUGUCAAAAUUUAGCAUUGGUGCUAACUUACUGCAAUAGCAGCAUGAUGUAAGAACUCUUUCUGUAUGCUCUUUUUCAACUUUUUCUCUUUUUGCAAUUACAAAUUGCCAUUUGUCAAUAAAACAAUGGUAAAGAAAAUUAAUGAGAAGAACAAAUUCUACCACUAUGCAAUAUUUUAUCUUAGUACCUAUUUUGACAUUGAAUUGGUUGGUAAAAAGAAGAAGUUGACAUGAUGGCUUUGCCUCCAUUGUCAUCAGCUUUGUGUGGAUGCUGUAGGUUCUGGUAACUUAAAAGCAUGUAUUGCUUGACGACUGUGAACUGAAAAAGCGGGUGGCACAAAAGAGGGGCAGUAGCCCCAGUAAACAGAAAUUACUCUGACUAUCUAGGUUUCAUUUACUUCCUAGAGUGGACCUAACCUAAAAUUGCAUAGUUGGUUAUAAGUUGGUAGUAUUUCUGAUUUCUGUUCUCAGACUUUCUAGGGACUGAAUUGAGCAAGUCACUACUCAUCUCUGCACCACUCUGAAAAAGUCCUAGGAGAUGUUUUAAUUUAAUCUUUACAAUCUAAGAAAAGCGAGACCUAGAGAAUAUACUGUUCAAGAUUAUGUGAAUUCAGUUGUUCUAGAAUUCUAUGUUCUUUUCUCAGAAUUUAUUUAAUUUUACAAAUCAAGAAGAUCCUUUUGGGAACUUCCCAGUGAGAUAAUCUAAUAUUAUCUUUUUGUGAAUCUGUGCUGGUCCUGGAAAGCUCUUCACAUGAUGCAAUGAAAUGAGAAAAGUGAAGACAGGGUAGUCCUUCAUAAAAUGAACUUACUUUUAUAAAGGUAUAAACAUAUUGGAUGGUAUUUGUGUCAUUUUAAAUAUUCUAGGCAAAUUAAAGUGUUGACCAUUUUGUGUAUAUUUCCCAAUGUUUUCUCUUUGAAUACUUACGGGACUGUGAAAUUCAAGAGUGGAAUAGGUACUAAAAGUGGGUUUCCGUUUUACCCUCUCACAUAUUGGAAGAACUAUGGUUAUAUUGGGGGACUUUGAACUUUUUCAUUGUGGGGCAUAACUGGGUGGGAUUUUCAAAUGGUACUCUGUCUGAAACUAAUAUUGGUGUCAUCUUUUUGGUAUUGAGGGUUCCCUUUUAUUCUAAACAAAAGGAGUGGUACAGUUCUUUAUAUUCCUUUAGGUUCCUUGGCAAUUGCCUAUUGUGCUGGACCUUUGCUCUUUUGCUUGCAGAUCCAUUCAGUGCCCAUCCCUUGACAUCUACCUUCCUGGGCUCCCCUGCUAACUGACAGCCAAAUAGGUUUUCCCAAUGGGAGACCUUGGUGGGACUUAGGAAAGAGAUAGGAAGAACAAAACCAGGAUAUUUAUUUUCUUCUCUGUCUGCUUUUGGGUAGCAUCUCUCUAUGGUCUGGGUAGACCAGCUCCUGUGAGACAAUUCUGUUUUCUAGCCUCUAGAGACAAUCCCCUUUGACCCCUCAGCCCUAAGGGAGGUAGCAGCUUCCCUCACCUGUUGACAUUUUAGCUCUCACAACACACUUGUAACUAGUUCCCUGUACUAAAUGCCGUCUCUUGGACUGCCUGGUAUGGUCUCUGUUUUUCUAACAGCUUUUCAGCUGUUCUCUGAAUGGUACACCUACUGUUGUAUAUGCACUUCAUUCUUUUGUUGUUGUAACAGUGGCGUUUGUUUUAGAAAUGUGUGAAUAUUUACAGGAUCACAGCCUUGCAGCUGCUGAAAACUCUGAGAUUUGUUCUUCUGAGCUGGCCUGGUGGGUAGUAAUCCUUUUACUCCUCUAUUCCAUGCAGAAUAAUUAUUCUUCUUUGUUACUCAUACUCUAAUCCACCCCUUUUAAAUUUGUGUUUAUAAGAAGAAUCUUUGUCUUUUGUGUUUGCAAUAAAUAAGCUUAUUGGCUUCAGUCUUUGAAAAUUACCUACACAAAUUCUCAGCCUAAGGUUGAAAGCAUAACUGCCAACUCAAUCCCAGAUUCCAGUUCCUAUGUUCUCCUUUGACUUCUGGCAUCUGCAGAACUUUUUUUUUUUUAAUUGAGUCAUGGAUUUUUUAAAAAAACAUUUAUAAGAUUUUAUUACAGAAAUUUUUAGGUGUACAAUAAAGUAAGUAAAAUUGAGUAACAAGCUCUCGUGUAUCCAUCAUCCAUCUUGAGCAAACAUUAAUAUAUUGCUGUUCUUGCUUUUUGUUUUUUUUCUCUUAUUAAUAUAGUUGUACAUAUAUUGGGGGUACAUGUGAUAUUUUGAUACAUGUAUACAAUGUAUAAUAAAUCAGGAUAAUUAGGAUAACCAUCACCUCAAAUAUUUUUUCUUUGUGUUGGGAGCAUUACAAUUCUUUCUUCUAGCUAUUUUGAAAUGCACAAUAAGUUAUAAUUUCCCUACUAUACUAUCAAAUGCUAGAACUUAUUCCUUAUAUCCAACUUCAUUUUUAUACCCAUUAACCAACUUCUCUUCAAUGUCCCCCUCCUUCUUUUCCUUCCCAGCUUCGGGUAACCACCAUCCUACUCUGUACCUUCAUGAGAUUCACUUUUUUAGCUCCCACAUGUGAGUCAGAACAUGUGAUAUUGGUUGUUUCAUGCCUGGCUUAUUUCACUUAACAUAAUGAUAACCAAUUUUAUCCAUGUUGCUGAGUCAUGGAUUUAUAUUUACCAGAGUUCAAGUGGAUCUUCCUCUAUUUGUUUGUAGAGUACUGGUUGUAAACCUCAGAUAGAUACAACAUAGAUACAGUAAUGAGUAAAUCAGUACACAGGCAGAUACUUGCCUAUUUAUAGAAGUGUGCUGGUAUGAGAAUUAAUAAAAUCACCAUACUUUCAUAUUCAUUAUCAUCAUAGCUAACAUUUAUUGAACAUUUACUAUGUGAUGUCUGCUAAUUUCUUUGAAUGUACUCUCUCAUUUAAUCUUCCCAAUAUCUCUGUGAUAAUUAUGCAGUGUUUUACAGAUGAGAGAACUGACUUAAUUAGCUUGUCCAAUGACACAGAAUCAAAUUACAGUGCCCUAAUCUACUAAUUGGUAGGCAGUAUUACCUCUCUAAAGAUUUUAGAGUAAUUUAAGGCCAUUGAAAACCAUUUUAACCAAUAGUUAUGUUUUGAGCUAAUCAGAACACAACAUUUUUGUAUUUCAAAUACCAUUUCUACUUUGAAA